UUAACUAUUGUAUAGUACUCAGACGACGCUAAAAUAAUUCAGGGUUUGGGGUUCUCUGGCGGGCGCUCACAAGCGAGAGCCGGUGGCCUGAAAGGGACGGCCCGCCAAAGCAACAAAGGUAGGGUAUUCAAGGGUGGGAGAUCUACCCGGAGGGCAUGAACUCGGUAAUGAUCCUUCCGCAGGUUCACCUACGGAAA
RNAcentral lists this unclassified non-coding RNA (197 nucleotides) under uncultured fungus. RNAcentral describes it as "sequence contains ITS1". The record is from RNAcentral. Lineage: Eukaryota; Fungi.